AGCGAACGCUGGCGGCAGGCCUAACACAUGCAAGUCGAACGAACUCUUCGGAGUUAGUGGCGGACGGGUGAGUAACACGUGGGAACGUGCCUUUAGGUUCGGAAUAACUCAGGGAAACUUGUGCUAAUACCGAAUGUGCUCUUCGGGGGAAAGAUUUAUCGCCUUUAGAGCGGCCCGCGUCUGAUUAGCUAGUUGGUGAGGUAAAGGCUCACCAAGGCUACGAUCAGUAGCUGGUCUGAGAGGAUGACCAGCCACAUUGGGACUGAGACACGGCCCAAACUCCUAUGGGAGGCAGCAGUGGGGAAUCUUGCGCAAUGGGCGAAAGCCUGACGCAGCCAUGCCGCGUGGAUGAUGAAGGUCUUAGGAUUGUAAAAUCCUUUCACCGGUGAAGAUAAUGACUGUAGCCGGAGAAGAAGCCCGGCUAACUUCGUG
Molecule: ribosomal RNA, 432 nt
Filed under: uncultured bacterium
Lineage: Bacteria
Description: bacterial SSU rRNA
Rfam family: Bacterial small subunit ribosomal RNA
Source: RNAcentral